RNAcentral lists this small RNA (28 nucleotides) under Bombyx mori (domestic silkworm). RNAcentral describes it as "ovarian small RNA-6024". Lineage: Eukaryota; Metazoa; Arthropoda; Insecta; Lepidoptera; Bombycidae. The record is from RNAcentral.
UACCAGGGAGUGGAUUUCCCGUUUUGGA